UGUUACCCCAGUUGAAUUUUUCUAGCAUGUGUCAGUUUGUCUAUUCCUAGCCCAGUGUGUAUAUAAUCAAAUGCUGAAACAAGUAAACCCCGAGUUCUCCUCACAUAUUACCUGUCCAUCAGCAAUUAUCAGCAAAACAUGGUAUUGA
Long non-coding RNA from Hibiscus syriacus, 148 nucleotides. RefSeq lists it as uncharacterized. The record is from RefSeq and is a predicted model, not a curated record. NCBI's taxonomy places the organism in Eukaryota, Viridiplantae, Streptophyta, Magnoliopsida, Malvales, Malvaceae. The transcript is spliced from 3 exons.